AUUGAACGCUGGCGGCAUGCCUUACACAUGCAAGUCGAACGGCAGCACGGGUGCUUGCACCUGGUGGCGAGUGGCGAACGGGUGAGUAAUACAUCGGAACAUGUCCUGUAGUGGGGGAUAGCCCGGCGAAAGCCGGAUUAAUACCGCAUACGAUCUACGGAUGAAAGCGGGGGACCUUCGGGCCUCGCGCUAUAGGGUUGGCCGAUGGCUGAUUAGCUAGUUGGUGGGGUAAAGGCCUACCAAGGCGACGAUCAGUAGCUGGUCUGAGAGGACGACCAGCCACACUGGGACUGAGACACGGCCCAGACUCCUACGGGAGGCAGCAGUGGGGAAUUUUGGACAAUGGGCGAAAGCCUGAUCCAGCAAUGCCGCGUGUGUGAAGAAGGCCUUCGGGUUGUAAAGCACUUUUGUCCGGAAAGAAAUCCUUGGCUCUAAUACAGUCGGGGGAUGACAGUACCGGAAGAAUAAGCACCGGCUAACUACGUG
Molecule: ribosomal RNA, 486 nt
Filed under: uncultured bacterium
Lineage: Bacteria
Description: partial 16S ribosomal RNA
Rfam family: Bacterial small subunit ribosomal RNA
Source: RNAcentral